GAUGAACGCUAGCUACAGGCUUAACACAUGCAAGUCGCAGGGUAACAUGAGGAAAGCUUGCUUUCCUUGAUGACGACUGGCGCACGGGUGAGUAACGCGUAUCCAACCUUCCCAUAACUACGGGAUAACCCGUUGAAAGACGGCCUAAUACCGUAUGAUAUCGUUUGCUGACAUCAAAUAACGAUUAAAGGUUUAGCGGUUAUGGAUGGGGAUGCGUCUGAUUAGCUUGUUGGCGGGGUAACGGCCCACCAAGGCGACGAUCAGUAGGGGUUCUGAGAGGAAGGGCCCCCACAUGGGAACUGAGACACGGGCCAAACUCCUACGGGAGGCAGCAGUGAGGAAUAUUGGUCAAUGGGCGAGAGCAUGAACCAGCCAAGUAGCGUGCAGGACGACGGCCCUAUGGGUUGUAAACUGCUUUUAUGUGGGGAUAAAGUGCGUGACGUGUCAUGCAUUGCAGGUACCACAUGAAUAAGGACCGGCUAAUUCCGUG
This 490-nucleotide ribosomal RNA is filed under the name uncultured bacterium. Its description in RNAcentral is "partial 16S ribosomal RNA". It matches the Rfam family "Bacterial small subunit ribosomal RNA", at positions 28 to 507 of the family's 1533-position model. The record is from RNAcentral.